RNAcentral lists this ribosomal RNA (234 nucleotides) under uncultured bacterium. Its description in RNAcentral is "partial 16S ribosomal RNA". It matches the Rfam family "Bacterial small subunit ribosomal RNA", at positions 102 to 334 of the family's 1533-position model. The record is from RNAcentral.
CACGGGUGAGUAACACGUAUCCAACCUGCCGUCUACUCUUGGCCAGCCUUCUGAAGGAAGAUUAAUCCAGGAUGGCAUCAUGAGUUCACAUGUCCGCAUGAUUAAAGGUAUUUUCCGGUAGACGAUGGGGAUGCGUUCCAUUAGAUAGUAGGCGGGGUAACGGCCCACCUAGUCUACGAUGGAUAGGGGUUCUGAGAGGAAGGUCCCCCACAUUGGAACUGAGACACGGUCCAA